AUUGAACGCUGGCGGCAUGCCUUACACAUGCAAGUCGAACGGUAACAGGUCAAGCUGACGAGUGGCGAACGGGUGAGUAAUAUAUCGGAACGUGCCCAGUAGUGGGGGAUAGCCCGGCGAAAGCCGGAUUAAUACCGCAUACGACCUACGGGUGAAAGCGGGGGAUCGCAAGACCUCGCGCUAUUGGAGCGGCCGAUAUCAGAUUAGCUAGUUGGUGGGGUAAAAGCUCACCAAGGCGACGAUCUGUAGCUGGUCUGAGAGGACGACCAGCCACACUGGGACUGAGACACGGCCCAGACUCCUACGGGAGGCAGCAGUGGGGAAUUUUUGGACAAUGGACGCAAGUCUGAUCCAGCCAUGCCGCGUGCGGGAAGAAGGCCU
This 381-nucleotide ribosomal RNA is filed under the name uncultured bacterium. Its description in RNAcentral is "bacterial SSU rRNA". It matches the Rfam family "Bacterial small subunit ribosomal RNA", at positions 30 to 417 of the family's 1533-position model. The record is from RNAcentral.